Molecule: ribosomal RNA, 2916 nt
Filed under: Salmonella enterica
Lineage: Bacteria; Pseudomonadati; Pseudomonadota; Gammaproteobacteria; Enterobacterales; Enterobacteriaceae
Also listed under: 1 other name
Description: partial 23S ribosomal RNA
Rfam family: Bacterial large subunit ribosomal RNA
Source: RNAcentral
GGUUAAGCGACUAAGCGUACACGGUGGAUGCCCUGGCAGUCAGAGGCGAUGAAGGGCGUGCUAAUCUGCGAUAAGCGCCGGUAAGGUGAUAUGAACCGUUAUAACCGGCGAUACCCGAAUGGGGAAACCCAGUGUGACUCGUCACACUAUCAUUAACUGAAUCCAUAGGUUAAUGAGGCGAACCGGGGGAACUGAAACAUCUAAGUACCCCGAGGAAAAGAAAUCAACCGAGAUUCCCCCAGUAGCGGCGAGCGAACGGGGAGGAGCCCAGAGCCUGAAUCAGCAUGUGUGUUAGUGGAAGCGUCUGGAAAGGCGCGCGAUACAGGGUGACAGCCCCGUACACAAAAGCGCAUGUGCUGUGAGCUCGAUGAGUAGGGCGGGACACGUGGUAUCCUGUCUGAAUAUGGGGGGACCAUCCUCCAAGGCUAAAUACUCCUGACUGACCGAUAGUGAACCAGUACCGUGAGGGAAAGGCGAAAAGAACCCCGGCGAGGGGAGUGAAAAAGAACCUGAAACCGUGUACGUACAAGCAGUGGGAGCCCCACCACCAAAGCAUUUGCUGUACCGCGUUGACGGAGCGAAGCGACGUCAAACCGAUAAAACAGCAGUGUAAAGUGAGCCGCAGGGCGCUUUGCGCGACAGCGCAAAGGCAGGCGGUUUCGCGUAGCGAAAGCGAAUGCUUUGGGGUGGGGUGACUGCGUACCUUUUGUAUAAUGGGUCAGCGACUUAUAUUCUGUAGCAAGGUUAACCGAAUAGGGGAGCCGGAGGGAAACCGAGUCUUAAUUGGGCGUUAAGUUGCAGGGUAUAGACCCGAAACCCGGUGAUCUAGCCAUGGGCAGGUUGAAGGUUGGGUAACACUAACUGGAGGACCGAACCGACUAAUGUUGAAAAAUUAGCGGAUGACCUGUGGCUGGGGGUGAAAGGCCAAUCAAACCGGGAGAUAGCUGGUUCUCCCCGAAAGCUAUUUAGGUAGCGCCUCGUGAAUUCAUCUCCGGGGGUAGAGCACUGUUUCGGCUAGGGGGCCAUCCCGGCUUACCAACCCGAUGCAAACUGCGAAUACCGGAGAAUGUUAUCACGGGAGACACACGGCGGGUGCUAACGUCCGUCGUGAAGAGGGAAACAACCCAGACCGCCAGCUAAGGUCCCAAAGUCAUGGUUAAGUGGGAAACGAUGUGGGAAGGCCCAGACAGCCAGGAUGUUGGCUUAGAAGCAGCCAUCAUUUAAAGAAAGCGUAAUAGCUCACUGGUCGAGUCGGCCUGCGCGGAAGAUGUAACGGGGCUAAACCAUGCACCGAAGCUGCGGCAGCGACACUGUGUGUUGUUGGGUAGGGGAGCGUUCUGUAAGCCUGUGAAGGUGUGUCGUGAGGCAUGCUGGAGGUAUCAGAAGUGCGAAUGCUGACAUAAGUAACGAUAAAGCGGGUGAAAAGCCCGCUCGCCGGAAGACCAAGGGUUCCUGUCCAACGUUAAUCGGGGCAGGGUGAGUCGACCCCUAAGGCGAGGCCGAAAGGCGUAGUCGAUGGGAAACGGGUUAAUAUUCCCGUACUUGGUGUUACUGCGAAGGGGGGACGGAGAAGGCUAUGUUGGCCGGGCGACGGUUGUCCCGGUUUAAGCGUGUAGGUGUGUGUUCCAGGUAAAUCCGGUUCACUUUAACACUGAGGCGUGACGACGAGGCACUACGGUGCUGAAGCAACAAAUGCCCUGCUUCCAGGAAAAGCCUCUAAGCAUCAGGUAACAUCAAAUCGUACCCCAAACCGACACAGGUGGUCAGGUAGAGAAUACCAAGGCGCUUGAGAGAACUCGGGUGAAGGAACUAGGCAAAAUGGUGCCGUAACUUCGGGAGAAGGCACGCUGACACGUAGGUGAAGUGAUUUACUCAUGGAGCUGAAGUCAGUCGAAGAUACCAGCUGGCUGCAACUGUUUAUUAAAAACACAGCACUGUGCAAACACGAAAGUGGACGUAUACGGUGUGACGCCUGCCCGGUGCCGGAAGGUUAAUUGAUGGGGUCAGCGCAAGCGAAGCUCCUGAUCGAAGCCCCGGUAAACGGCGGCCGUAACUAUAACGGUCCUAAGGUAGCGAAAUUCCUUGUCGGGUAAGUUCCGACCUGCACGAAUGGCGUAAUGAUGGCCAGGCUGUCUCCACCCGAGACUCAGUGAAAUUGAACUCGCUGUGAAGAUGCAGUGUACCCGCGGCAAGACGGAAAGACCCCGUGAACCUUUACUAUAGCUUGACACUGAACAUUGAGCCUUGAUGUGUAGGAUAGGUGGGAGGCUUUGAAGUGUGGACGCCAGUCUGCAUGGAGCCGACCUUGAAAUACCACCCUUUAAUGUUUGAUGUUCUAACGUGGACCCGUUACCCGGGUUGCGGACAGUGUCUGGUGGGUAGUUUGACUGGGGCGGUCUCCUCCUAAAGAGUAACGGAGGAGCACGAAGGUUGGCUAAUCCUGGUCGGACAUCAGGAGGUUAGUGCAAUGGCAUAAGCCAGCUUGACUGCGAGCGUGACGGCGCGAGCAGGUGCGAAAGCAGGUCAUAGUGAUCCGGUGGUUCUGAAUGGAAGGGCCAUCGCUCAACGGAUAAAAGGUACUCCGGGGAUAACAGGCUGAUACCGCCCAAGAGUUCAUAUCGACGGCGGUGUUUGGCACCUCGAUGUCGGCUCAUCACAUCCUGGGGCUGAAGUAGGUCCCAAGGGUAUGGCUGUUCGCCAUUUAAAGUGGUACGCGAGCUGGGUUUAGAACGUCGUGAGACAGUUCGGUCCCUAUCUGCCGUGGGCGCUGGAGAACUGAGGGGGGCUGCUCCUAGUACGAGAGGACCGGAGUGGACGCAUCACUGGUGUUCGGGUUGUCAUGCCAAUGGCACUGCCCGGUAGCUAAAUGCGGAAGAGAUAAGUGCUGAAAGCAUCUAAGCACGAAACUUGCCCCGA